RNAcentral lists this ribosomal RNA (508 nucleotides) under uncultured Acidobacteriota bacterium. Its description in RNAcentral is "bacterial SSU rRNA". It matches the Rfam family "Bacterial small subunit ribosomal RNA", at positions 373 to 896 of the family's 1533-position model. Lineage: Bacteria; Pseudomonadati; Acidobacteriota. The record is from RNAcentral.
GGACGAAAGUCUGACGCAGCAACGCCGCGUGAGGGAUGAAGGCCUUCGGGUUGUAAACCUCUUUUGUCAGGGACGAUGAUGACGGUACCUGACGAAUAAGCCACGGCUAACUACGUGCCAGCAGCCGCGGUAAUACGUAGGUGGCAAGCGUUGUCCGGAUUUACUGGGCGCAAAGAGCGCGCAGGCGGUCGAUCAAGUCGCGUGUGAAAGCCCCCGGCUCAACUGGGGAGGGUCACGCGAUACUGAUCGACUCGAAGGCAGGAGAGGGUAGUGGAAUUCCCGGUGUAGUGGUGAAAUGCGUAGAUAUCGGGAGGAACACCAGUGGCGAAGGCGACUACCUGGCCUGUUUCUUGACGCUGAGGCGCGAAAGCUAGGGGAGCAAACGGGAUUAGAUACCCCGGUAGUCCUAGCCGUAAACGAUGGACACUAGGUGUUGGUGGUAUCAACCCCGCCAGUGCCGAAGCUAACGCAUUAAGUGUCCCGCCUGGGGGGUACGGCCGCAAGGCUA